Molecule: transfer RNA, 72 nt
Organism: Gregarina niphandrodes
Lineage: Eukaryota; Apicomplexa; Conoidasida; Eugregarinorida; Gregarinidae
Rfam family: tRNA
About the family: Transfer RNA (tRNA) molecules are approximately 80 nucleotides in length. Their secondary structure includes four short double-helical elements and three loops (D, anti-codon, and T loops).
Source: Rfam
GCUUCGGUAGCUUAGUGGCAGAGCGUUGGUCUUGUAAACCAAAGGUCGUGGGUCCGAUUCCCAUCCGGAGCU